UACGUAGGGGGCAAGCGUUGUCCGGAAUCAUUGGGCGUAAAGAGCGUGUAGGCGGCCAGGUAGGUCCGUUGUGAAAACUCGAGGCUCAACCUCGAGACGUCGGCGGAAACCAUCUGGCUAGAGUCCGGAAGAGGAGAGUGGAAUUCCUGGUGUAGCGGUGAAAUGCGCAGAUAUCAGGAAGAACACCCGUGGCGAAGGCGGCUCUCUGGGACGGUACUGACGCUGAGACGCGAAAGCGUGGGGAGCAAACAGG
This 253-nucleotide ribosomal RNA is filed under the name uncultured bacterium. Its description in RNAcentral is "partial 16S ribosomal RNA". It matches the Rfam family "Bacterial small subunit ribosomal RNA", at positions 524 to 776 of the family's 1533-position model. The record is from RNAcentral.